This is an RNA transcript of Perca flavescens (yellow perch), 2198 nucleotides long. It is a transcript of the gene named CD276 molecule, with no coding region annotated. NCBI's taxonomy places the organism in Eukaryota, Metazoa, Chordata, Actinopteri, Perciformes, Percidae. The record is from RefSeq and is a predicted model, not a curated record. The transcript has 9 exons.
GGACUGUCGAGACUCUUUUCUCCCCAAGGGAUGACAUCACUGCUGGACAAAGCGCAAGGAGUGGUUUCUGUGAAGAGAACCGUCCCAAAUCAAUGGAACAUACCCCCACACUCUGAAAACACAUCCUAUAGCGUUAUCCACCGUCAAAACAAUCUGUUAUCGUGCCGGGCAGCAGUUCUAGUAACGUGCGUUUGUUGUAAGAGGAAUGAACUACUCUGGAAAAUAACAACGGCUGUGCUGGUCAAAGAAAAGAUUCACCGCCGCUGGAUGGUUGGUGGUUUCUAAGUUUCGCCCUCCUAACAUGCUCUGUGUCUGAAGAAGUUGACCUGCGGUUCCAAUCCACCCUGGUAUACCAUGCUGUCCCUCCUGCUGCCCGCAAUGCUGGCCGUCCAAACUAUGGCUGUGUUGGAAUUGACCGUCCCGGAGCAGCCAGUGGUGGCGCUGCACGGCAGUGAUGCCACACUCAACUGCUCCUUCAGCCACGCCAACCCCUUCAACUUGUCAGAUCUGAGCGUCUUCUGGCAGCUGACAGACACCAAACGCAGUGUGCAUGAGUACUCGGGGGGUCGCGACCAGCUGGUGGACCAGGCCGAGAGCUUCGUCAACCGUACCAGCCUGUUCCCCGCCCAGCUGGGCCUGGGCAACGCUUCGCUCCUGCUGAGCAGGGUGGUGGUGGCCGAUGAAGGCAGCUAUACCUGCUUCGCCAGGGUGCAAGACUACGGCAGUGCUUCUUUGCUGCUGCAGGUGGCCGCCCCCUACUCCAAGCCAGUAGUGACUUUGGCACCUGAAUCCAACCUGCGACCAGGAGAUGAGGUGGCCCUGACUUGUGUGGCCUACGGUGGUUAUCCUGAAGCUGGCGUGGUAUGGCAGGACGGGGGCGGGCGCAACCUGACGGACAAUAUCACCACUUCAUUGGUGGCCAAUGAGGAAGGGCUAUUCUCUAUGACCAGCGUGCUGACAGUUGUGCUGGAGCCCAAUAGCACCUACAGCUGUGGACUGAUCAAUCCACUACUGGGCAAGGAGGGCUAUGCCUUUGUCACAAUCACAGGUCAGAACAUUGCGUUCCCCCCGGUGGCUCUGUGGGUAACCGUUGGCCUGGCCGUGUGUCUGCUGGUGCUGCUCAUUGCCCUGGCUGCUGUCUGCCGCAGGAAGAUCAAGGAGAGCUGUGAGGAGGCCAGGAGAGAAGCUGAAGAGGCCAAGGAACUGGAAGAAGAGGAGUCAAAGACAGCCAUGACACUACUGAAAAGCUAAGGCCAAGAGAAUAAAUACAUGCAGUGCCAUGGACAGUUCAACUUCUCACACAGUAGAAGAAGGUGGUUAGGAAGGAGUCAAGGCCAGACGGCGGGUAGGAGAUGAGUCUGGCGGGUAAUCCCACUCCACCUAUCCAUCAACCUGGCGACUAUUUCCAGCGUCCCCUACAGAAUGUCAAAGCCUCGCUGAGCAGAAGAUGAGUCCAUCAUCUUCUUUCUAAGACUUUCCCUCGAGUUUUCAUCAAAAACACAUAAACACAUCAUGUGCCAUUAUUUUUCUAUUGCCCUCCCGUUCCGUUUCUGUCAGUGGAGGGCCGCGGCAGUGAGUGAACACAGUUGAGUGAGUUGUUCUAUGCAAAAGAGAAGCUCUGUUUGAAAAGUACAGGAUGUGACAGGAUCCUUUCUCUGUCGCUGACAUCACUCUGUAUGGGUUGUGAUGGGGCAUGUGCCAGAGAUCUCCUGUCUAAUAGGAAGUGAGACACUUAAAGAGAUGACCCUGCCUUAGUUGCCAUCACUGUCUCUCUGCCAGGGAGGGAGCUUGGCUCUCCCAUUACUCCUGCACUUGCUAAUUAGCGUCUGUCGCUGAAGUAACUUGUACCUGUCAGUGUGCGCCGCUCUCCUAUAUUCAGUAACUUGAGGGAAUUGAAAUUGAAUGCCAGCUAAGCUCCGACAAACUGCAAAUGGUGCAUGGGAUACACCCUGAUUUUCUCACUGACCUGACAGCCUUAUAUGUAAGAAAUUGUUUUUAAUGAACACAGAGUAUCUCGGCUAGUUUCUACUGCCAGUGUGGAAUGUUUUAUCUCUCCCAGACUAGGGGCAUUUUUUUUUUAUUGCAUUUCUUUAGGUACUUGAGCAAGUCCAUGCGCCAUAUGUCCAUGUAUGAGUGCCAAAACCAUUUGUGUCAGAUAGCCCAGUGCCUAUUUACAUUAAAGAGACAUGGUGAAACUG